UGGGGAAUCUUGCACAAUGGAGGCAACUCUGAUGCAGCGACGCCGCGUGAGCGAUGAAGCCCUUCGGGGUGUAAAGCUCUUUCGGCAGGGACGAUAAUGACGGUACCUGAAGAAGAAGCUGCGGCUAACUACGUGCCAGCAGCCGCGGUAAUACGUAGGCAGCGAGCGUUGUUCGGAAUUACUGGGCGUAAAGAGUGUGUAGGCGGUGCUCUAAGUUCGGUGUGAAAUCUCCUGGCUUAACUGGGAGGGUGCGCCGGAAACUGGAAUGCUUGAGCGUGGGAGAGGAAAGCGGAAUUCCUGGUGUAGCGGUGAAAUGCGUAGAUAUCAGGAGGAACACCUGUGGUGUAGACGGCUUUCUGGACCAUAGCUGACGCUGAGACACGAAAGCGUGGGUAGCAAACA
This 402-nucleotide ribosomal RNA is filed under the name uncultured Bryobacter sp. RNAcentral describes it as "bacterial SSU rRNA". It matches the Rfam family "Bacterial small subunit ribosomal RNA", at positions 355 to 774 of the family's 1533-position model. The record is from RNAcentral. Lineage: Bacteria; Pseudomonadati; Acidobacteriota; Terriglobia; Bryobacterales; Bryobacteraceae.